GCCGUUGUAGCAUAAUCUGGUAGUGCAGCGCUUUCGUAAAGCGAAGAUUGAGGGUUCAACUCCCUCCAGCGGCU
This 74-nucleotide transfer RNA is filed under the name archaeon. RNAcentral's name for it is "tRNA-Thr". It matches the Rfam family "tRNA". Rfam says of the family: Transfer RNA (tRNA) molecules are approximately 80 nucleotides in length. Their secondary structure includes four short double-helical elements and three loops (D, anti-codon, and T loops). The record is from RNAcentral.